Molecule: ribosomal RNA, 467 nt
Filed under: uncultured bacterium
Lineage: Bacteria
Description: partial 16S ribosomal RNA
Rfam family: Bacterial small subunit ribosomal RNA
Source: RNAcentral
GACGAACGCUGGCGGCGUGCUUAACACAUGCAAGUCGAACGGAAAGGCCCUGCUUUUGUGGGGUGCUCGAGUGGCGAACGGGUGAGUAACACGUGAGUAACCUGCCCUUGACUUUGGGAUAACUUCAGGAAACUGGGGCUAAUACCGGAUAGGAGCUCCUGCUGCAUGGUGGGGGUUGGAAAGUUUCGGCGGUUGGGGAUGGACUCGCGGCUUAUCAGCUUGUUGGUGGGGUAGUGGCUUACCAAGGCUUUGACGGGUAGCCGGCCUGAGAGGGUGACCGGCCACAUUGGGACUGAGAUACGGCCCAGACUCCUACGGGAGGCAGCAGUGGGGAAUAUUGCACAAUGGGCGGAAGCCUGAUGCAGCAACGCCGCGUGCGGGAUGACGGCCUUCGGGUUGUAAACCACUUUCGCCUGUGACGAAGCGUGAGUGACGGUAAUGGGUAAAGAAGCACCGGCGAACUACGU